AGACGAAGACUGAGCGGUUGUGUCUGCGUUGCCGACCUCGAGCAGCAGUCGGCUUCUGCAUGUAGAACCCGGGAGUAGGAGACUCAGAAUCGAAUCUCUUCUCCCUCCUCUCUCCUGUGAGAUUUUUUUGAUCUUCAGCUACAUUUUCGGCUUUGUGAGAAACCUUAUCAUCAAACACAAUGGCCAGCAACAUUACCAACAAGACAGAUCCUCGCUCCAUGAACUCCCGUGUGUUCAUUGGGAAUCUAAACACUCUCGUGGUCAAGAAAUCUGAUGUGGAGGCAAUCUUUUCGAAGUAUGGCAAAAUUGUGGGCUGCUCUGUUCAUAAGGGCUUUGCCUUCGUUCAAUAUGUUAAUGAGAGAAAUGCCCGGGCUGCUGUAGCUGGAGAGGUGGGGAGAAUGAUUGCUGGCCAGGUUUUAGAUCCUAACCUGGCUGCAGAGCCAAAAGUGAACUAAGGAAAAGCAGGUGUGAAACGGUCUGCAGCGGAGAUGUACGGCUCCUCUUUUGACUUGGACUAUGACUUUCAACGGGAUUGUUAUGAUAGGAUGUACAGUUACCCAGCAUGUGUACCUCCUCCUCCUGCUGCUCGGGCUGCAGUGCCCUCGAAACGUCAGCGUGUAUCAGGAAACACCUCACCAAGGGGCAAAAGUGGCUUCAAUUCUAAGAGUGGACAGUGGGGAUUUUCCAAGUCUGGAAAGUUGAAAGGAGAUGACCUUCAGGCCAUUAAGAAGGAACUGACCCAGAUAAAACAAAAAGUGGAUUCUCUCCUGGAAAACCUGGAAAAAACUGAAAAGGAACAGAGCAAACAAGCAGUAGAGAUGAAGAAUGAUAAGUCAGAAGAGGAGCAGAGCAGCAGCUCCGUGAAGAAAGAUGAGACUAAUGUGAAGGUGGAGUCUGAGGGGGCUGCAGAUGACUCUGCUGAGGAGGGGACCUACUGGAUGAUGAUGAUAAUGAAGAUCGGGGAUGACCAGCUGGAGCUGAUCAAGGAUGAUGAAAAAGAGGCUGAGGAGGGAGAGGAUGACUCUUAA
This is an RNA transcript of Cebus imitator (Panamanian white-faced capuchin), 1028 nucleotides long. It is a transcript of the gene named heterogeneous nuclear ribonucleoproteins C1/C2-like, with no coding region annotated. Lineage: Eukaryota; Metazoa; Chordata; Mammalia; Primates; Cebidae. The record is from RefSeq and is a predicted model, not a curated record. The transcript has a single exon.